Molecule: long non-coding RNA, 340 nt
Filed under: Phoenix dactylifera (date palm)
Lineage: Eukaryota; Viridiplantae; Streptophyta; Magnoliopsida; Arecales; Arecaceae
Description: long non-coding RNA (PDAC_LNC006333)
Source: RNAcentral
GAGAAGAGAAGGAGAAAGAAGAAGAGAAGAAGGAGAAGGGAGGAGGAGGAAAGGAGGGAAAACGUGGGAAAAGAAAAGUCUUAAUUCUUCAUUAACCCUAAUCAACAUAAAAGUUUCCUAUAAAUAGGACCCAAUAAGAACAAUUAAAAUAAAACCCCCUUAUACAAAAUAAUUCCCAAUAAACCCAAACUACACAAAUAAAGUCCAACAAUAAUAAAAUUGCAAACAAAUCCAGAAAUAAAAGAAAAUAAAAUGCAAAUAAAGUUGGGAAGACUAAACGGCAGGGUGGUCAGCUCUGAUGUCCCCAUCAACUCCUUCCGGGUGGGAGAAGCUCGACCCC